CGGAGGAUCCAAGCGUUAUCCGGAAUCAUUGGGUUUAAAGGGUCCGUAGGCGGUUUAGUAAGUCAGUGGUGAAAGCCCAUCGCUCAACGGUGGAACGGCCAUUGAUACUGCUAGACUUGAAUUAUUAGGAAGUAACUAGAAUAUGUAGUGUAGCGGUGAAAUGCUUAGAGAUUACAUGGAAUACCAAUUGCGAAGGCAGGUUACUACUAAUGGAUUGACGCUGAUGGACGAAAGCGUGGGUAGCGAACAGGAUUAGAUACCCUGGUAGUCCACGCCGUAAACGAUGGAUACUAGCUGUUGGGGCAACUUCAGUGGCUAAGCGAAAGUGAUAAGUAUCCCACCUGGGGAGUACGUUCGCAAGAAUG
RNAcentral lists this ribosomal RNA (365 nucleotides) under uncultured organism. RNAcentral describes it as "bacterial SSU rRNA". It matches the Rfam family "Bacterial small subunit ribosomal RNA", at positions 526 to 896 of the family's 1533-position model. The record is from RNAcentral.